AACAAAGGAGAGAGACUACAUGAAUGGUGUACAAGAUUAUUUAUUUGUGAUUGACAGUGGGUGAGCACUCAAUCUUAUGUUACGACAGAGGCAUAUUUGGCAGACUUCAAUUUAGAAGUCUUUUGAACUAAAUAAAUACUGUUUUGUUUGUUUGUUUGUUUGUUUGUUUUCCUUAAGUGUGGAGGACCAGUUUGCAUCACUUAAUUCAAUUUUAAGAGCUCUCAACACCUUGAAAAGAUUUUCAGCUUAACUAGAACACUUUUUUCCCUCUACUUUACCUCUUAACUUGCAUGUGUUGGAAAAACUGAAGAUUAUUUUCAAGAAUAUUUAUUCCAAAAAUUAGCACUGAGAAUUUCUCUUAAAAAACAAAGGCAAGGUGAAGAAUUUAAAGCCACAACUAUUGUUUCAGUUUUCAGAGGCUUCUCUGAAAGGCACCAUAGGCUGUUCCAUAUAAGAUUGUCAGUGUUGAUUCUGUUUGAUUUUGUGCCAUAUAGACUUCAGAAAAUGGCUUGGAGAGAACAACAAUAUGGCCGCUGGCUUCUUUGAACAAAUAAGAUCCCUCCUGUGGAGUUGUGCAUCAUACUACCUUUCAGGCACUUGGACAUUUGUUGUGCCAUGCGACUUAAAGCAAACACCACUGCUGGGAGAAAAGAUAGCUGAAUCACCAGGGCACUAGCCUGCUUCUGCUCUUACUGAUAUUUGUACUUGUGAACUUGAUGAAUCUACUUCUUUCCAUUCUGACUAUGAAUCAUAAGCAAUAAUUUAGUUUAUAGGCAGUGUUUUCUUGUGCCAAAUCUAAAGUUUUUACAAUGAUCUCUUCUAGCUUCAUGAUGUCAUGUAAUUAUGUUAGCAGUAGCUGAGACACACCAGUUAUUAGACUGCUAAAGGAAGAAGGAAAAAUGUUCUCCUGUAACAUAUAUCAUAAUCUUGGGAUUCUUUCAGAAUUCCAGUCAGUUCUUGCUAUAAUCAGACUAACAAGUGUAGCAGCUCUCUUCUUAAGUAUUAUUUAAUUUUAAACUGCAGUCAACCAAGUGUUUUUUCUCAGUUCUCUUCUGUCUGUAGACUUACAGGUCUGUGCCUGAAGCUUUUCUUAUGAAGUUCCUUGCUCGGUAACACCACAUUAAAUCUAGUGCAACUGUACAACACCGUUAUAACUGAAAUGAGAAUAUACCUUCUAGUGUCAUGCAAUAUUAUUAAGUUUUAUGACUUUAGGGUUCUUUUUCCCAUGAAAAAUCCCUUUCUAAAGGGAAUCAAUGCAAUGAUAUUAGUUCAAAAAAGCAUUUGCAAUGUGAAGCAGUAGUCUAGUGGACAAUAGUAGCUUCACUGAAAUUCAUACGCUGUGAGACGCUACAAUUGAUGUACUGGAUUCUGAAGGGC
This 1377-nucleotide long non-coding RNA is filed under the name Coturnix japonica (Japanese quail). RNAcentral describes it as "lncRNA (ENSCJPG00005015523.1)". Lineage: Eukaryota; Metazoa; Chordata; Aves; Galliformes; Phasianidae. The record is from RNAcentral.